Molecule: transfer RNA, 82 nt
Organism: Acanthamoeba castellanii str. Neff
Lineage: Eukaryota; Discosea; Longamoebia; Acanthamoebidae
Rfam family: tRNA
About the family: Transfer RNA (tRNA) molecules are approximately 80 nucleotides in length. Their secondary structure includes four short double-helical elements and three loops (D, anti-codon, and T loops). Further hydrogen bonds mediate the characteristic L-shaped molecular structure. tRNAs have two regions of fundamental functional importance: the anti-codon, which is responsible for specific mRNA codon recognition, and the 3' end, to which the tRNAs corresponding amino acid is attached (by aminoacyl-tRNA synthetases). tRNAs cope with the degeneracy of the genetic code in two manners: having more than one tRNA (with a specific anti-codon) for a particular amino acid; and 'wobble' base-pairing, i.e. permitting non-standard base-pairing at the 3rd anti-codon position.
Source: Rfam
GGGCGGAUGGCCGAGCGGUCUAAGGCGACAGUUUAAGGCACUGUUAUCUUCGGAUGCGUGGGUUCAAAUCCCACUCCGCUCA